Molecule: ribosomal RNA, 465 nt
Filed under: uncultured bacterium
Lineage: Bacteria
Description: partial 16S ribosomal RNA
Rfam family: Bacterial small subunit ribosomal RNA
Source: RNAcentral
GACGAACGCUGGCGGCGUGCUUAACACAUGCAAGUCGAACGGAAAGGCCCUGCUUGCAGGGUACUCGAGUGGCGAACGGGUGAGUAACACGUGGGUGAUCUGCCCUGCACUUCGGGAUAAGCCUGGGAAACUGGGUCUAAUACCGGAUAGGAGCCAUUUUUAGUGUGAUGGUUGGAAAGCUUUUUCGGUGUAGGAUGAGCCCGCGGCCUAUCAGCUUGUUGGUGGGGUAAUGGCCUACCAAGGCGGCGACGGGUAGCCGGCCUGCGAGGGUGGACGGCCACAAUGAGACUGGCAUGCGGCCCAGACGCCUACGGGGGGGAGCAGAGGGGAAUAUUGCACAAUGGGCGCAAGCCUGAUGCAGCGCCGGCGCGUGGGGGAAGACGGCCUUCGGGUUGUAGACUCGUUUCGCAAGGGACGAUGCUUUUUGUGACGGUACCUAGGUAAAAAGCACCGGCUAACUACGUG